AGUGAACGCUGGCGGCGUGCUUAACACAUGCAAGUCGAACGAGAACGGGUUAUAGCUUGCUAUAAUUGUCAGCUAAGUGGCGCACGGGUGAGUAAUGUAUAGGUAAUAUGCCUCUUACUAAGGGAUAACAAAUGGAAACGUUUGCUAAUACCUUAUACUCCUUUUAAACAGAAGUUUAAAAGGGAAAGAUUUAUUGGUAAGAGAUUAGCCUGUAUUGUAUCAGUUAGUUGGUGGGGUAAUGGCUUACCAAGACUAUGACACAUAACUGGUUUGAGAGGUAGAGCAGUCACACUGGAACUGAGACACGGUCCAGACUCCUACGGGAGGCAGCAGUGGGGAAUAUUGCACAAUGGACGAAAGUCUGAUGCAGCAACGCCGCGUGGAGGAUGACACAUUUCGGUGCGUAAACUCCUUUUAUAUGAGAAGAUAAUGACGGUAUUAUAUGAAUAAGCACCGGCUAACUCCGUGCCAGCCGCCGCGGUAA
This 484-nucleotide ribosomal RNA is filed under the name uncultured bacterium. RNAcentral's name for it is "partial 16S ribosomal RNA". It matches the Rfam family "Bacterial small subunit ribosomal RNA", at positions 29 to 523 of the family's 1533-position model. The record is from RNAcentral.